CGGACGGGUGAGUAACACGUUGGUACCUGCCUCAGAGUGGGGGAUAAUUCGCCGAAAGGCGGACUAAUACCCCAUAGUCUCCGAUUUAUUCGGAGUAAAGAUUUAUCGCUCUGAGAGGGGCCUGCGGUUGAUUAGCUUGUUGGUGAGGUAAAGGCUCACCAAGGCGAUGAUCAAUAGCUGGAUCGAGAGGUUGACCAGCCACACUGGGACUGAGAUACGGCCCAG
RNAcentral lists this ribosomal RNA (225 nucleotides) under uncultured bacterium. Its description in RNAcentral is "partial 16S ribosomal RNA". It matches the Rfam family "Bacterial small subunit ribosomal RNA", at positions 99 to 334 of the family's 1533-position model. The record is from RNAcentral.